Molecule: small RNA, 565 nt
Filed under: Oryza sativa Japonica Group (Japanese rice)
Lineage: Eukaryota; Viridiplantae; Streptophyta; Magnoliopsida; Poales; Poaceae
Description: sRNA Os03g0155632
Source: RNAcentral
GAAUGACUGGCCGAACUUCCACCACGCCGGCACGAUGUUCUGGAAGACGAGGGUCUGGCCGCCGGUGGAGGUGACGCCGAAGGUGAGCGUCUGGCCGACGAGGCCGGCGUGCGACUGCCAGUUCGCGCCCCAGUUCCUGCUCAGGGGCAUCCUGUCGGUGUUCGGCCCCUUCACCCACACCGACUGGAUCGACCCGCUCCCGGCCACGUUCGAGAUCAGCACCAGCUCGAAGUAGUUGAACCCUCCCAUGGUGAACCGAACCCCUCCCUGCUUCACGCACGGCACCCUACAUACCACCGGCACGAUACCGGCCUUGUAGAUGCCGAUCUGGAGCCAGGCGGGCUCGGCCAUGUCGAAGUGCGUGCGAGGCGGGUUGCACCAGCCGCCGUCGUUGCUGGAGAGGGCGUAGUUGGGCGGGCACAGGUUGGUCCCGGUGAUGGUCACCGUCCUCCCCUGCAGGCACCACCGCGGCUCGGCCUGGUGGUCGCACGCGAUCUGGUAGCACUGCCCGCACGACGCGCCGUCGUUGAACAGCGCCGAGCUCAGCGCCGCCGUGUUCGUCCCG